GUCACUAUAGCGCAACGGAUAGCGCGUUGGACUUCUAAUCCAAAGGUCGUGGGUUCAAAUCCCAGCUGGGAGGGCG
Molecule: transfer RNA, 76 nt
Filed under: Trichonephila clavata
Lineage: Eukaryota; Metazoa; Arthropoda; Arachnida; Araneae; Nephilidae
Description: tRNA-Arg
Rfam family: tRNA (bases 5-69)
About the family: Transfer RNA (tRNA) molecules are approximately 80 nucleotides in length. Their secondary structure includes four short double-helical elements and three loops (D, anti-codon, and T loops). Further hydrogen bonds mediate the characteristic L-shaped molecular structure. tRNAs have two regions of fundamental functional importance: the anti-codon, which is responsible for specific mRNA codon recognition, and the 3' end, to which the tRNAs corresponding amino acid is attached (by aminoacyl-tRNA synthetases). tRNAs cope with the degeneracy of the genetic code in two manners: having more than one tRNA (with a specific anti-codon) for a particular amino acid; and 'wobble' base-pairing, i.e. permitting non-standard base-pairing at the 3rd anti-codon position.
Source: RNAcentral